GAUGAAGAACGUAGCGAAAUGCGAUAAGUAAUGUGAAUUGCAGAAUUCAGUGAAUCAUCGAAUCUUUGAACGCACAUUGCGCCCGCUAGUAUUCUGGCGGGCAUGCCUGUCCGAGCGUCAUUUCAACCCUCAAGCCCCCGGGCUUGGUGUUGGGGAUCGGCGAGCCUCCGCGCCCGCCGUCCCCUAAAUCUAGUGGCGGUCUCGCUGUAGCUUCCUCUGCGUAGUAGCACACCUCGCACUGGGAAACAGCGCGGCCACGCCGUUAAACCCCCAACUUCUGAACGUUUGACCUCGGAUCAGGUAGGAAUACCCGCUGAACUUAAGCAUAUCAAUAAGCG
Molecule: unclassified non-coding RNA, 338 nt
Filed under: soil metagenome
Description: partial contains 5.8S ribosomal RNA, internal transcribed spacer 2, and large subunit ribosomal RNA
Rfam family: 5.8S ribosomal RNA (bases 1-120)
Source: RNAcentral